RNAcentral lists this ribosomal RNA (256 nucleotides) under uncultured bacterium. Its description in RNAcentral is "partial 16S ribosomal RNA". It matches the Rfam family "Bacterial small subunit ribosomal RNA", at positions 524 to 776 of the family's 1533-position model. The record is from RNAcentral.
CACGUAGGGGGGCGAGCGUUUGUCCGGAUUUAUUGGGCGUAAAGAGCUCGUAGGCGGUUCGCUAAGUCGGGGUGUGAAACCUCCAGGCUCAACCUGGAGACGCCACCUGAUACUGGCGAGCUUGAGUACGAAAGAGGAUCGCGGAAUUCCCGGUGUAGAGGUGAAAUUCGUAGAUAUCGGGAGGAACACCGGUGGCGAAGGCGGCGAUCUGGGUCGAUACUGACGCUGAGGUGCGAAAGCGUGGGGAGCAAACAGG